UACGGAGGGAGCUAGCGUUGUUCGGAAUUACUGGGCGUAAAGCGCGCGUAGGCGGCUUUGUAAGUUAGAGGUGAAAGCCCGGGGCUCAACUCCGGAACUGCCUUUAAGACUGCAUCGCUUGAAUCCGGGAGAGGUGAGUGGAAUUCCGAGUGUAGAGGUGAAAUUCGUAGAUAUUCGGAAGAACACCAGUGGCGAAGGCGGCUCACUGGACCGGCAUUGACGCUCAUGUGCGAAAGCGUGGGGAGCAAAC
This 250-nucleotide ribosomal RNA is filed under the name uncultured bacterium. RNAcentral describes it as "partial 16S ribosomal RNA". It matches the Rfam family "Bacterial small subunit ribosomal RNA", at positions 524 to 773 of the family's 1533-position model. The record is from RNAcentral.